GUUAAAAAGCUCGUAGAUGGAUCAGAGUUCGACCGUGCACGGUGGCCUCACUUGUAUCGUCGGCCUCGGUUGUCGUUACGGUGGCGGAUCGACCCCGUGCGCUAAACGGUCGUCUCUAACUGACCGAAACGGUUCCCUGUGAGUAGGCCGCUAUAUUGGGGCUGAAAGCGCCAACGCAUCAACCAUAUGCAUACGGGACGUCGGUCAAUGUUACUGUGAACAAACCAGCGUGUCCAAAACAGGCUUUCGCCUGAAUGUUCGAGCAUGGAAUAACAAGGGAUCGAUUCUCUCGGUUCUUUUUGUUGGUUUUUAACCCGAGAAGGGGUAAUUCAGGCCACGGUGUCUGGGCUGGGUUCCCCGGCGCUUCGGCGUCGGCCCCAGUUAGGCCGUGUCCUUACGGGAUAAAUAGGGACUGACGGGGUCGUACGUACUUC
This 434-nucleotide ribosomal RNA is filed under the name uncultured marine eukaryote. RNAcentral describes it as "bacterial SSU rRNA". The record is from RNAcentral.